GUGUAUUUCUACCAGGCGAGCGGCUCUGACGGCGAAAGGACGGCGGGAAGCAGGAACCCCGGCAGACAGCACCGUCCCGGGGGGCUCCGCCGCGCCGGCCCCGGACCGAGCCCGGCAGAGGGCGCCCGCCGCCGCCGCGCCCCUGCCCGCGCCCGGGGCCGCACAACUUGCACAAGUUUCGGCGAGGACCGCGGGGCCUCCGCCCCCGCGCCCGCCGCCCCCGAGCCCAGCCCCGUCUUACCGCGGCGGGUCCGCGCCGGCUCCCGCAGGGCUGCGUCGCUCUGCCCCGGCCGGCGCGGCCCGGGGCGCGGGGCCAGCCCCGGCUGGGGGCUGCGGGUGGCGGCCGCCGCGCCGGCCCCGCUCGGCUGGGCCGGGCUGCGCUCGGCUCCGGCCCCUUCCUCUCUGCCGCUACUUUUCCACCCGGGCUGGCCGCAACUUCGGGUUCCUGCCCUCCGCCGGCGGCUCCCAGGAGUUGAUGGAGAGAGAGAUGCGGCGGCGAGCGCCCAGCGACGGGCGCGGGCAGCCAGGCAAACUCGCAGGGAUGUCGCUCCGGAGGGGCGGGGAGGGAAGGAAGGAGGGAAGGAGGGGAGGGAGGCGGGGAGGCGACGGGGGGGUUGGCAGAGCCGCCCCCGGCGAACGGGGAUGUGCCGAUCCUCCGCGCCGAGCUCGGCGGCGGGCGGCUGCCAGUCCCGCCGUGGCUCCCGGCGGCUCUUCCCUGCGGCUGUGGGCGCUGCCCCGCUGCUCCCGGCACCCAGCCCAGCCCCGCUCCCGGCAGCGGAUGCCACCCCCGCCUCUGCGCCUCGGCUGCCGGCGGAGCGGGGCUCCGCAGGAGCGCCCGGGGGCAGGGCCGGGGCCGGGGCCGGAGGGGGCCGCGCCUGGCAGCGGCGCAGGCGGGAGAACGCGGUGACCCGGUGCAGCGGGUCCCGGAGCGGGGAGCAGAGGAGGUGCGAGGGGGCUCGUGGAAGAAGAGCUGCCGCUUUGGGUCACCCCCGUGGCCGGCUGAAAGCCACCGCCCCGCCGCGGACCGGCCCCCGCAGCUCCCGGCCGGGGCAGUGUCAGGGACGGGCGCGGUGGUGGCCCGGGGACCGGCCAGCUGUACUGGGCUGGGCUGGGCAGGGCAAGGCAGGGCAGUAG
This 1134-nucleotide long non-coding RNA is filed under the name Corvus moneduloides (New Caledonian crow). Its description in RNAcentral is "lncRNA (ENSCMUG00000001430.2)". The record is from RNAcentral. Lineage: Eukaryota; Metazoa; Chordata; Aves; Passeriformes; Corvidae.